CUUAGGAUGAACGCUAGCGACAGGCCUAACACAUGCAAGUCGAGGGGCAGCACAAGGAGCAAUCUGAGGUGGCGACCGGCGCACGGGUGAGUAACACGUAUGCAACCUGCCUGUAAGCGGGGAAUAACCCGUUGAAAGACGGACUAAUACCGCAUAAUACUAAAUUACUGCAUGGUAAUUUAUUUAAACAUUUAUGGCUUACAGAUGGGCAUGCGCAUGAUUAGCUAGUUGGAGAGGUAACGGCUCCCCAAGGCAACGAUCAUUAGGGGUUCUGAGAGGAAGGUCCCCACACUGGUACUGAGACACGGACCAGACUCCUACGGGAGGCAGCAGUGAGGAAUAUUGGUCAAUGGACGAGAGUCUGAACCAGCCAAGUCGCGUGCAGGAAGAAUGUCCUAAUGGAUUGUAAACUGCUUUUGCAGGGGAAUAAAGUGCAUCACGUGUGAUGUUUUGUAUGUACUCUGCGAAUAAGGAUCGGCUAAUUCCGUGCCAGCAGCAGC
This 500-nucleotide ribosomal RNA is filed under the name uncultured bacterium. Its description in RNAcentral is "bacterial SSU rRNA". It matches the Rfam family "Bacterial small subunit ribosomal RNA", at positions 23 to 518 of the family's 1533-position model. The record is from RNAcentral.